Molecule: long non-coding RNA, 354 nt
Filed under: Bos taurus (domestic cattle)
Lineage: Eukaryota; Metazoa; Chordata; Mammalia; Artiodactyla; Bovidae
Description: long non-coding RNA NONBTAT025036
Source: RNAcentral
GUGAACUGGGGUAUGCCUUAGUCACUAACUGCUGGAUUUCAGCAGUUAUCAAGUUUAACUAUACAGUAUACUUUUGCACAGAAGAGAAUAAUAUUGUAAUUAAUGCAAGGUUCAUUUUUUUUUAAAGGCCCAAUCUAAGAAAAGAGGACUAUAUAUAAAAUCAAUUAUGAGGUAUGUAGUUAAGAAUAUUUGAAACUUUAAUCAGUAUAUUUGUUUUUUGAUGAAGACAGAAAAAUCAUAAUCAAAGGUUUCCAUAGUUUAGGAUUUAAUUAUUCAUUUAAAAGAAGCGUUAUUUUCACUGUGGACUGAUCUAGACAUUUAGAAGACUAAUUAUGCUAUAAGAAAAGCAUAAUG